Asparagus officinalis (garden asparagus) is the source of this 2170-nucleotide RNA transcript. RefSeq lists it as uncharacterized. The transcript has 4 exons. Lineage: Eukaryota; Viridiplantae; Streptophyta; Magnoliopsida; Asparagales; Asparagaceae. The record is from RefSeq and is a predicted model, not a curated record.
AAGGAGGACAGCAAACGGACCUUAUAACCCCGCGCCUCUGCUCCAAAACCCUAAAAUUGAAAUAAUAAAACCCCCAAAACCAAAACUCCAAUUUAUCCACAAAGCUUGCCUGCUUCAUGUAGCAGCCAUUCUAACUAUCCCUAGGGUUUUCAACUCAUCGUCCUUUUAAUUCUUCAUCCCUUGACAUGGACCACAUAACUUCAGCGAUCGGCAAAAUCAAGGGCUUCGCCAAGAAAUCGGCCGAGCGCUUCGUCAAUGGCGGCACCCCAAAGUGCCCCAUCUCCUCCGACCACGACCCUAUUGAGAUAUUAAAGCGUUUACAGCGAGAAGCAUUCUCUGACCUGAUGAAACUGAGGGAGCGACAGGAGAAAACUGAACGGAUCCUUUCCUACUAUAAAACUAGCAAAGGAGGCCCAUUCCAUGAGGCCAGCACCCAUAUGGAGGGAAUAAUUGAUUUGGUUGGGGCUUUACUGUUUAUGUGGGAUGAUGAUCAGUUGGCUUAUAAUGCCUUGGAUACAGCAGGAACAAGAACAGGCGUUGAUUUGAGAUUUAUUUUUAAGACAGCUGUAAGACAGAAAGAUCUACUGGUAGCAGAGUUUGCUGCUAGUCCGAACAGUGUGAUCAACCAUGGUAAUAUCUAUCGAAGUCCUCUAGCAUUGGAUAAGCUGAUGUAUUUGGCAAAUUUAAAUCACUGGCUGUCUGUGGCUUUGUCUCCCUUGGGGGCUCAAUGCAAUGAAUAUGGACCUGCUUCAAAUUUUGAGCAGGGUCGGCGCGUGGGUAAAGCCUCUUCAUUUUUGCCCCCUUCAUUCAAUCAACAUUACAAUUGUGGUGCUGGGAUCAAGGUCCACGGAUCAAAUAUUGCAGCUUCUAUAGCUGAGCUGGUUUCUGGAAUGCAAACACAACCUGAUGCUUCUUUUGGUAGGAGCUUGAGCACUUUUGGCCAAGUUAGCUACCAACCAUUUGAAGAAACAAGGUUCACAUUAUCAUGUUUAAUGCAAAUGCAUAAGCCACUGUCCUAUCUUUUUAAGUUUGGUACCCUUGCUAUACCAACGGGCCACUUGAAACAGCAAAACUCCGAGGUACAAGGGCAAGAAUCUUCUUCUGCUCGUAGUAAAAAGGCAGAUGGCAUCUCAUCAGGAUCCAUCGCGCUGAUGUUAGACUCACAAUUAGAUGAAAGUACCAAUCUUAGUGGUUGGAUUGAGUUGCAGAAGUCAAGCAAGUUAUUGCAGUGGGGUGCCUCUUUAUCUGAUAUUCCAGAGGAUGAACUAGGAUGGGGAUUAAGAAUGGGAGGAAAGAUUGGAGGUCAUCUCAAUCAGCUUCAGUUGGAAGGGUUUCUUAAUUUUAAUUUUGAUAAGAGAUUUAAUUUGCAACCGGGCCUUUUCUAUGCAACGGACGGGAGGAAACAUUCUCCUGCAUUGGUGUUCCGCUCAAGCUGGCUCAUGUAAUCAACUGAUGUUGGAGGAAACAAGUUAACUUACAUUUGAUAUAUAAGUCUAUCAGAAGGAGGUUUGCUGUUGCAGGUAAAUCACUCCGGGUCUAUCUACAACAAUAGAAUUACAGCGGGACGUCCACAACUGGGCAUAUUACAGGGGGUCUAUCUCAAUGAACCAUUAUUUCAGUGCUUUUGAUUACAGCUGCAGUUCCUGUACCCUUUACUGUAAUUUUUGUGCGUUUUCGCUUGUUCAUUGACAUUCCAUAUUUUUCUUUUUUUACAAACUCUUUGAAGAAACAUUACAGGGUUUACUUUAUAUAGAGCACAUCACGUAUCCCUGUGCAUAUCAGGCAGCCCAGCGGUCAGCUUACUGACUGAUAUUCACACAGCAUCAUGGGGUACGGUUUGAUGGAUCUGAUGCAGGUCCUCAUUCUGAUGGUUGAAUUCCAUAAAGCAGCGUCUUAUUUGCAGGCCAUUGAUAUUUGAAACCUUUUUCAUCUGCUGUUUAUGAUUUGUAUUACACGCCUACGGACCUUUUUUAGAAAAGAACUUGAUCGGUAUUGUAGUUCAAAUUUGAACGUCCGAUCCUUGUGCUUAAAGCAUCAUCACUCUCUCGCCAUAAGCUCAUCAUGACUUUGUUCAUACCGGCAUCGGUCCUUUGUAUGCAUAAUCACGCGUUCGGUGUUCAGGGAAAACACUGCAAUUGGCUGAGUUCCGAAACAUAGAAGACCGGUACGU